Molecule: microRNA, 23 nt
Filed under: Columba livia (rock pigeon)
Lineage: Eukaryota; Metazoa; Chordata; Aves; Columbiformes; Columbidae
Description: cli-miR-137b-5p
Gene: cli-miR-137b-5p
Source: miRBase by way of RNAcentral
ACGGGUAUUCUCGGGCGGAUAAU